Molecule: ribosomal RNA, 478 nt
Filed under: uncultured bacterium
Lineage: Bacteria
Description: partial 16S ribosomal RNA
Rfam family: Bacterial small subunit ribosomal RNA
Source: RNAcentral
GACGAACGCUGGCGGCGUGCUUAACACAUGCAAGUCGAACGGUAAGGCCCUUCGGGGUACACGAGUGGCGAACGGGUGAGUAACACGUGGGUGAUCUGCCCUGCACUUCGGGAUAAGCCUGGGAAACUGGGUCUAAUACCGGAUAGGACUCCGGCCUGCAUGGUCUGGGGUGGAAAGCUUUUGCUGUGUGGGAUGGGCCCGCGGCCUAUCAGCUUGUUGGUGGGGCGAUGGCCUACCAAGGCGACGACGGGUAGCCGGCCUGAGAGGGUGACCGGCCACACUGGGACUGAGAUACGGCCCAGACUCCUACGGGAGGCAGCAGUGGGGAAUAUUGCACAAUGGGCGCAAGCCUGAUGCAGCGACGCCGCGUGAGGGAUGACGGCCUUCGGGUUGUAAACCUCUUUCAGCAUCGACGAAGCGAAAGUGACGGUAGGUGCAGAAGAAGGACCGGCCAACUACGUGCCAGCCGCCGCAGUAA